RNAcentral lists this long non-coding RNA (241 nucleotides) under Elaeis guineensis (African oil palm). Its description in RNAcentral is "long non-coding RNA (EGUI_LNC007864)". The record is from RNAcentral. Lineage: Eukaryota; Viridiplantae; Streptophyta; Magnoliopsida; Arecales; Arecaceae.
CCAACUCAAAUUGUGUCCGCCAAGCUGAAGAUAGCCUUGUGCUUGGCCUUAUUUGACGCCUGGUCAAAACUCGGCUUGGUGAGCGUCAGAGGUCAGAGGCAUGGGUUGAUCUCGCCAAAACUACAGAUAAUUUAGUCCAGCCCAUUUGAAUCAUGUUUAGUAGACUGUGGGCUGGGCCCACCAAACAUACAUCUUUACUAAUAGCAAUGCGGGUGCUGUGAAGUAUUUGUUUUGUAAUUGC